RNAcentral lists this long non-coding RNA (3758 nucleotides) under Canis lupus familiaris (dog). Its description in RNAcentral is "lncRNA (ENSCAFG00000054728.1)". The record is from RNAcentral. Lineage: Eukaryota; Metazoa; Chordata; Mammalia; Carnivora; Canidae.
UUUUUUUUUUUUUUUUUUUUUUUAACGGAGAAGGGUUAGAGAAAAACCACGCAAUACUUAUCUGGUUCAUAACCCCUAGAUCUAGGUCAGUCUGGGUUAUAAAGCAAAGCAACCAUGCCAAGGAGAAAAUUCCGGAUUUCUUUUGACUUCCACUUAAUGUUAAAACCUGCACAGUUUUGUUUUUUGAUAGAGAUUUGUAAAUAAUCUUCUUAGACCCAGCAUGAUGCUAUUUGGAAGGAUAACUAAAGGAACAGAAGCCAAUGGUAAAAGAAAAAUAGUAAUAGAAACUGAUGGGUGCCACCCACGUUAUAGGGAGUCCUUAGGCUCCAACCAGACAAAAACAUUUCAUGUUUCUUGUGUAGCAAAUGGCCCUUCUAACAAGCUGAUCACCUGGGCUGGAGACGUUUUUACCAUUUAAAUGAGAUCUGCAAUGUUCCGUAGGAAGGCUCAUGCAUUACUUACAGUGUCAAGAUAAAAGGAAACCAGCAGUGAAGGUGAAUCAGAGUAAUAAGUAUUUAAAAUGCUUUAGCUCAAAGGCACAGAGUUCUUCUCUUUCAUUCCUUCUACUAACCAGCGACCAGAUGAACAGGUGUGGACUUGCUCAACUGGAUGACAUGUGGCAGGAAACAUUUCACUUCAAAGUUGCAAACUAUUUGACAUUCAACAGUUUUUCAUUGUGGGUGGGCAGACGAGAGAAUUCGGCUUCACCUCAGCUCCCACAGUUCACUGGUCCUGCACUGAUGGAUGGGGGAACGGAGGGGUUUCCCUAACUUCCCUGAACCUGCCUGCAGAGCUCUGGAUGCUUCUGCGAGGAAGUCCCAGGACUGAGUGCUCACGUGGCUGACAUUAGAAUGCCUGACUCUUUGCCCCCAAUCCUGUCAACAUCUGGCAUUUCAACAUUUCUGCCCCAUCUCAGGUCAGUGUGCCUAAAGCUUCAGGUAAAUCCCAAGGAGCUCAUAAAGGAGCAAGGCUGGGACUCCCUUUUAACAUAUUCCCAGCCCAGAGGAUACGAACCCCACAAAUACGCCAACGAACCCCACAAAUAUGUCAACGCCUCUAAACCAAAACACUCAAGAAUUUCCUGGUGCCUGAGAAGUUUAACAUUAAUUCACUACUGAAUUCAAAUAGCUUCUUCCCACUUAAUUCCCUAAAAGGCUCCAUUCGCCACAGUACCCCAAUUCUCUGGGUACAAGGAAAUGGCAUUUCAAGCAUUGUGUCUAUCAUUAAACCCUCUGCAGCAUAAAAAAUAUUUUAAAUUUACUACAGGAAAAUUGCACGGUUAUUUUAUUGUAUAAAAGGUGGUUUUUAGGAGUAGUGGUGGAAAGUUCCAUAAAUGAAGUGCAGACUCAGAUGUCUGGGGUGUGUUUGUUAGGAAGGAGAGCAAUUUUCCUCAGACUAGUCCUGACUUGAUUUCCACAAACCUUUCCAAACGCCUUCCCUGGCCCCUCACCCCCAUCCCCACCUGCCGCAGCUCCCUGGGGCAGCUCUGGCCAUCCCAUGGGUUGGGAACCCACCCCCACUGGGUUCCUUUCUCUCCAAGUCUUGGGUCAGCUGUCCACCUGAGCUGCCUCAGCAGGUGCCGAGGGAGAGGCUUCUAGUCUCCCUGACCUGUCUUCACAGCACUUAUCUCAGAGAUUAAAUAACUACCUGAGGAAGUUGUUUAAUGUCCACCUCUCUCAUCAAAAUAAAUAUGCUACUUGGACAUAGCUCAGAGCCAUUUCAUCUCCCUAGGGUCCAGCAACAUGCAGCUACUGGAUAUAAGUGGCUGUUAAGUGAAUAAGUACAUGAUUGGACAAGAAAAAAAAAAAUCACAGGAUGCACUGGGUUCUGUUGUAGCCUGAGCCCCCUCUACUUCACCCUACCCAACCUUGUUAUCCUUCCUGGGCCUUUAGAUGGUCAUUUCUUUUGCUUCAGAUGCCCCAGAUGAUGCUACUGCUGAAAGUGGUACCAGGACUUCUGCAAGGAAAGCUCUCUGGGUGUGUUGCCCAUCACAUGGCAAAGACUCUGAGGCAUGUUCCAUUAUUUAUGGCUGCCAAUAACUUAGUCACCCACAGUCCCAUUCUAGAGGCAAAACAAUUUAUGAGGAGCAGCUAGCUCAGGAUUGGGUGUCAAGAGAGCAGGAAUGCACCAUUUUCUCUCUCUGAACCUCCGCUCAACCAGAGGAUUAUUAUGACUCCUUCAAACCAACAUGUAGGGCAAGUUUUUGACUAGUCUUAAUGGACUAGACAGAUUUAUUAGAAACAAGCAAUAGGGGUAUUCCUGGGAACCUUCAAAGAGAAGGGAAGAAACAUAAAGUUAUGCAUUUAUGUUCAAAUGAAUUUAUUUUUUUUUACUUUUUUUUAUUUUUAAAAUUUAAAUUCAAUUAAUUAACAUACAACGUAUUAUUAGUUUUAGAGGUGGAGUUCAGUGAUUCAUCAGUCUUAUAUAACGCCCAGUGCUCAUUACUACAUCACAUGGCCUCCUUAAUGCCCAUCACCCAGUUGCCUUAUUUGCCCAGCCCCCUCCCCUCCAGCAACCCUCAGUUUGUUUCCUAUGAUUAAGAGUCUCUUAUGGUUUAUGUCCCUUUCUGAUUUUGUCUUGUUUUAUUUUUCCCUCUCUUCCCCUAUGAUCCUGUUUUGUUUCUUAAAUUCCAUGUAUGAGUGAGAUCAUAUGAUAAAUGUCUUUCUCUGAUUGACUUAUUUCACUCAGCAUAAUAUCCUCUAAUUCCAUCCACAUUGUGACAAAUGGCAAGAUUUCAUUUUUUUGAUGCCUGAAUAAGAUUCCAUGGUAUAUAUAUGCCAUUUCUUCUUUAUCCAUUCAUCUGUCGACAGGCAUCUGGGCUUUCUCCAUAGUUUGGCUAUUGUGGACACUGCUGCUAUAAACAUUGUGGUGCAGGGGCCCCUUUGGAUGAUUACAUUUGUAUCUUUGGGGGUAAAUACCUAGUAGUGCAAUUGCUGGGUCAUAGGGUUACUUUUAAUUUUUUUAAAGAUCCUAUUUAUUCAUUUGCGAGAGAGAGUUCGUGCAAGUGGGCAGAGGAGUGGAGGGAGAGGCACAAGCAGACUCUACUCUGAGCACAGAGCCCAACACAGGGCUUGAUCCCAUGACCCCGAGAUCAUGACCUGAGCUGAAAUCAAGAGUUGGAUGUUUAACCAACUGAGACACCCAGGCACCCCUUGAAUGAAUUUUUAAUUAAUUAAAUAAAAGUUUUCAUUUAUGAAGAAGUCUCAGAUAGCACCUUGUGAGUAUAAGCAGAUAUUGUAUAUCCAGAGAUUACAGAUGUCCAGAUGUGGCCACAGUCAUUAGCAAAGACAAGCAGUUAUCAUGUAAUGAAUGUCAGAGAGCCUAAAUUCCAAGUAUCUGGUGUAGCAGUUUUACUAGUUGAAAGUGGAAAGCACAUGGCCCUUGGAGCCAGCGAGACCCACGCUAGCUCUGUGAUCCUGCUUUAUAUAAGCUUCAGCUCCGUCAUCUAUAAAAUAGAAGUAACAGCAUCCACCUCACCUCACUGUGAGCAUUAGGCACAAUAAAUAAAAAGCAGUCAACUCAGUACCUGCCCAUAGUUGGCACUCAGUAAGUAAUAGCUAUUGUUAUUAUCAUUAAAACAGGUUUGACAUGUUUAUCUCUACUUCUCAGAGCAUCAUCACCCUCUCCAGCAAUAUCUGUCAUAUUUGUGUGCUUACCGGAUUUAGGUCAGCCUCCCCCACUUGGCUACAAGCUCCAUGAGGGCAAGAAGCCUCAUGACAUGACAGCUCCAAGUGAGCAUCUGCUCAUCCUCCUCCUCC